This 427-nucleotide long non-coding RNA is filed under the name Citrus maxima (pomelo). Its description in RNAcentral is "long non-coding RNA (CMAX_LNC004264)". Lineage: Eukaryota; Viridiplantae; Streptophyta; Magnoliopsida; Sapindales; Rutaceae. The record is from RNAcentral.
UCCGCCCCUUCUUUUGUUGUUGUAUUUAAUUAUUUAAGGUUUCAGUUUUAUUUAACUUAACUUUCAGAGUUUCUUCUUUGAUAAACUAGAACCUUGUAAUGGUUGUAACUAAAUAGUUCUAACUUCACUCCAGGGAACAACUCAAAAAGGGUUUCUUUCUUUUUUUUUUUUCAUUUUUUAGAACUUUUGUGUUUGUGUUGUCGUAAUUUUAGGUUUUUUCUUUUUUUUUUUUUUCACUAUUAAUUUGUCCUAGGAUUGAUCAAAUCAAUUAGGUAUUGGGCUGCACGUAUUAUAGAAAAUAAAAAAAAAAAAUUCUUAUUGUUUAUGGUGGGGUGAUGGGGAAAAUAAGAAUCCCCAUCCUGGGAAUAAAAAAAUAGUAAAAUAAAAAGAAAGGUGAAACUUUCUAGUUUGUCUUGAUUCCGUUUUC